This 2092-nucleotide long non-coding RNA is filed under the name Lonchura striata (white-rumped munia). RNAcentral's name for it is "domestica (Bengalese finch) lncRNA (ENSLSDG00000002673.1)". Lineage: Eukaryota; Metazoa; Chordata; Aves; Passeriformes; Estrildidae. The record is from RNAcentral.
GGCCACCACUCACGCAGGUUGGUCUCCACGGUGUCGGUGGAGAACUCGCAGCGUGGACCGGCGUAGGACGGGCUGCAGAGACAACCGGUGCCAGCAAAAGUCCCCCCGUUCUCACACAGCCCUGGUGGGACACGGGGACAUCAGCCGGGUCACGGGGACACCCCAGCUGAGCGUGGAGGUCAUCUGGGGAGGACUCACCUAAAGGAGGAGCAGUGGUGGUCCAAAGGGUGGUUGGGGUGGUCCCUGGAGUGGUGGACAUUGCUGUGGAGGUCCUCUGGGUGCUCGAGGAGGUCACUGAGGUGGUUGUGGUGGUCCCUGGAGUGGCCGUGGUGAUACCUGGGAUUGUGAUGGGGGUCCCAGAGUUGGUCGUGGAGGUCCCUGAGAUGGUUGUGGAGGUCCCUGGGGUGGAGGACGUGGUCCCUGGAGUGGCCAUGGUGGUCCCUGGAGUAGUUGUGUUGGUCCCUGGGGUGGUUGUGGUGGUCCCUGAGAUGGUCGUGGUGGUCCCAGAGUUGGUCGUGGUGGUUACUGGGAUGGUUGUGGUUGUCCCUGGGGUGGUUGUGGUGGUACCUGGGGCUGUGGUGGUGGUCCCAGAGUUGGUCGUUGUAGUCCCUGGGGUGGUCGUGGUGGUACCCGGGAGGGCUGUGGUGGUACCUAAGUUUGUUGUGGCGGUCCCAGAGGUGGAGGACGUGGUCCUUGGGGUGGUCGUGGUGGCACCCAGGGUGGUCGUAGUGGUCCCUGAGAUGAUUGUGGUGGUCCAUGGGGUGGUCGUGGUGGUCUCUGUAAGGGUCGUGAUGAUCCCUGGGAUAGUCGUGGUGGUCCCUGGGAUGGUUGUGGUGGUCCAUGGGGUGGAGGAGGUGGUCCCUGAUGAGGUCGUGGAGGUCCCUGUAAUGGUUGUGGUGGUACCUGCAGUGGACGUGGUUGUCCCAGAGUUGGUUGUGGUGGUCCCUGAGGAGGUCAUGGAGGUCCCUGGGAUGGUCGUGGUGGUCCCUGGGGUGGUUGCGGUGGUCCAGGGGCUGGAAGAGGUGGUUGCUGCGGUGGUUUUGGUGGUCACUGGGGUGGUCGUGGUGAUACCAGGGACGGUCGUGGUGGUCACAGAGUUGGUUGUGCUGGACCCUGAGGUGGUUGUGGUGGUACUUGGGAUGGUUGUAGAUGUUCCUGGGGUGCUUGUGGUGGACCCUGAGGUUGUUUGGAUGGUCUCAGAGGUGGCUGGGGUGGUCGCAGAGGUGGAGGUGGUCCCCGAGGAGGUUGUGAUGGUCCCUGGUGUGGUCGUGGUGGUCCCUGAUGUGGAGGUGGUGGUCCCAGGGCUGGUUGUGGUGGACCCUGAGGUGGUCGUGGUGGACCCUGAGGUUGUUAGGGUGGUCGCAGAGGUGGUUGGGAUGGUCCCUGAGGUGGAGGAGGUGGUCCAUGGGGUGGCUGUGGUGGUCGCUGAGAUGACCGUGGUGGUCCCAGAGGUGGACGUGGUGGUCCCUGAAGUGGUAGGGGUGGUCCCCGAGUUGGUCAUGGUGGUUCCUGGAGUGGUCGUGGUGGUCUCUGGAGUGGUCGUGGUGGUACCCGGGAUUGUUGUGGUGGUCUCAGAGUUGGUUGUGGUGGUCCCUGAGGACAUUGGGGUGGUCCCGGAGGUGGUCGUGGAGGUCCAUGUAAUGGUUGUGGUGAUCCCUGGGUUGGUUGUGGUGGUCCCAGAAGUGAAGGAGGUGGUCCCUGGGUUGCUUGUGGUGGUCAAUGGAGUGGUUGGAGUGGUCCCGGAGCUGGUGGAGGUGGUCCCUGGGAUGGCUGUGGUGGCUCCUGAGGAGAUUGUGGUGACACCUGAGGUGGUUGUGGAGGUCUUUGAGGUGGUCUUGGUGGUCUCCGAGGUGGUUGGGAUGGUCCCAGAGGUGGUUGUGGAGGUCCCUGAGGUGGAGGAGGUGGUCACUGGCAUGGUCGUGGUGGUCACUGGGGUGAUUGUGGUGGUCCCCGAGAUGGUUGUUUGGGUCCCUGGGGUGCUGGUGGUGGUCCCUGAGGAGCUCAUGGUGGUCUCUGAGGUGGAAGAGGUGGUACUUGAGGUGGUUGGGUUGGUCCCAGAGGUGCUCAUGGUGGACCCUGGGGUGGUUGUGGA